Molecule: long non-coding RNA, 1608 nt
Organism: Cyprinus carpio carpio
Lineage: Eukaryota; Metazoa; Chordata; Actinopteri; Cypriniformes; Cyprinidae
Source: Ensembl
CUGCUGUGCUGUUUCCCAUCAGAUCUUGAGUCUGUGCUGAGGUCAGACACCAGAUCUAACGGCCCACCGACAUUCUAGGCUGACCUGACAGUGUGGAAGUUGCACAUUCUUUUUUAGAAUCACACCUCUCCCUUUCACACCCUUUCAUUUCCUCUGUGUUAAUCAGGCGACUGACAGAGCUGGAGAUAGUGACUAAUGAAAUGUCACCGUGACUCUGAUAGAGAUGCAGACCUGCAGAAAACAGAGAGGGUGAGAUGGACGAGGACCACAUCCACAGUAUGGUGGUCUCACCAUGGGCUAAUGUGUCCCGGCUUUGGAACAACCUCCCGACAUGAGGCCCUUGAUGGUGAUAGGCGAAUUAAGGUUGACAUUCAAUCGAUCUGUGCCUGGCCUGGCCCGCAGCGAAGGGAGAUAUUCGCACACUAGGAUUAUAACCCCUGCAACCCCCCGCAACCAAACAGCGAUUGACCUCCGAACGGAUGGAUGAACUACUUCCUAUUUCACAACCCACCUCCUCUCUCACAAUAACCUGAUGGCCACUCUUCAAAUGAUACUCUAGCUUUUUUCAGCAACUCUUUAUACUUUGUAGGCAGAGCUGAUCUUCCUAUACGCAAAAUGUGCAAGCUGAGUAGGGCCCCCGAAACACCAGGGAGCCCACUUGCUCUCAAAGAUGAUUUAAUUUUAGUUUUGUUUUUGAAUUUGGCCAGCGUUUAUGAAAACAUGAAUGCUCAUUUCUUGUAAUGCAGUGCGCUGCUGCCCUUUCUGCAUAAAAAUCAGUCAAAUUAUGUAACGUGAAUGUCGUACAGUCUUGCUCGAGACUAAAAAAUGAGUUGAAAGCGUACCGGGCCGCGGAAGAGACACUGUUUCUCAAGAGCUUUCCACAAACGCUGUUCGAGACAGAGUGAAACAAGGACAAAUGCGUUUCAUUCAUUCAUUCAUAACCAUUCAUAACCCCCCCCCCCCAACCCCCCAACACAGUUUUGCGUAAGGCCCCUAGAAGUCUAGGAUCGGCUCUGUUGGUAGGUCAUCUUGUAUAGACAUAACUGUGCUUGUUGCAUUUGACUUUACAUUUUCUUUUGAGACACAUAAAAUAGAAGAGUGUAGCUGAUUGGUAAUCUUAAUAGACAUAUGUACUCUGAAAUUUGGGCUGGUUGACACUGAAUCAAUAAAUUUCAUGCAGUGUACUGACAAUUAAAAUAUCUAGAAUAAUCUGCACUCCUCUUCUCGUCAUCCCUCUUGUUUGACAAUUGACUGACCUUGAUAAAGGAAAAACCAUGACUUACUGUAUACCAGUGAGAGUCUGACAAAACAUUUGUGAAAGCUGCAUUUUAAAUAUUUCUGACAAUCAAAUUUGUGAUUUUUAAUAAAAAAUACUUCUGUGUUUAGAUGUUUUGCAUUGUCAUUUAUAAUUCUUGAAAUUCCAGACCACAAAUGACGUGAGUCAAGCCUGUCUGAUUAUUGCUAUGGCUUUUUCAUGCAGAUAAUCUUCUUUAUAAAAGUAAAACUCUCCAGUCUUGGAUUUGAUCCUUCUCUGCCAUAUUCAGCAUUGUUGUGAAUAAGCCACAAAGGAAGCAAUGAGUCAGCAUGAGCAACUGCAUUGUGACAUCG